AGGCCUAUGGGUUGUAAACUUCUUUUCUCAGGGAAGAAUUUUGACGGUAUUACAGGAAUAAGCAUCGGCUAACUCUGUGCCAGCAGCCGCGGUAAGACAGAGGAUGCAAGCGUUAUCCGGAAUGAUUGGGCGUAAAGCGUCUGUAGGUGGUUUGACAAGUCUCCUGUUAAAGAUCAGGGCUUAACCCUGGGCCGGCAGGAGAAACUAUCAGGCUAGAGUUCGGUAGGGGCAGAGGGAAUUCCCGGUGGAGCGGUGAAAUGCGUAGAUAUCGGGAGGAACACCAAAGGCGAAAGCACUCUGCUGGGCCGAUUUUUUUAGUAUUUUAGUAAACUUGUUUGCUAAAAUACUAAAAAAAGUACUGA
RNAcentral lists this ribosomal RNA (362 nucleotides) under Chlorella vulgaris. Its description in RNAcentral is "SSU rRNA". It matches the Rfam family "Bacterial small subunit ribosomal RNA", at positions 412 to 805 of the family's 1533-position model. The record is from RNAcentral. Lineage: Eukaryota; Viridiplantae; Chlorophyta; Trebouxiophyceae; Chlorellales; Chlorellaceae.